AGAGCGAACGCUGGCGGCAGGCCUAACACAUGCAAGUCGAGCGCCCCGCAAGGGGAGCGGCAGACGGGAGAGUAACACGUGGGAACGUACCCUUUGGUUCGGAACAACUCAGGGAAACUUGAGCUAAUACCGGAUACGCCCUUACGGGGAAAGAUUUAUUGCCGAAGGAACGGCCCGCGUCCGAUUAGCUAGUUGGUGAGGUAAUGGCUCACCAAGGCGACGAUCGGUAGCUGGUCUGAGAGGAUGACCAGCAUCACUGGGACUGAGACACGGCCCAGACUCCUACGGGAGGCAGCAGUGGGGAAUAUUGGACAAUGGGCGCAAGCCUGAUCCAGCCAUGCCGCGUGGAUGAUGAAGGCCUUAGGGUUGUAAAGUCCUUUUAACGGGGAAGAUAAUGACGGUACCCGUAGAAUAAGCCCCGGCUAACUUCGUGCCAGCAGCCGC
Molecule: ribosomal RNA, 444 nt
Filed under: uncultured bacterium
Lineage: Bacteria
Description: SSU rRNA
Rfam family: Bacterial small subunit ribosomal RNA
Source: RNAcentral